UUCCCCAAGCGGGGGAGCAUGUGGUUUAAUUUGGCGCAACGCGAAGAACCUUACCUACUCUUGACAUCUAGGGAAGAUUGCAGAGAUGCGGUUGUGCCUUUGGGAACCUUAAGACAGGUGCUGCAUGGCGGUUGUCAGCUCGUGUUGUGAAAUGUUGGGUUAAGUCCCGCAACGAGCGCAACCCUUAUCCUUAGUUGCCAGCACGUAAUGUCGGGAACUCUAGGGAGACUGCCGGUGAUAAACCGGAGGAAGGUGGGGACGACGUCAAGUCAUCAUGGCCCUUACGAGUAGGGCUACACACGUGCUACAAUGGUACGUACAGAGGGAGGCAACCUGGCGACAGUGAGCGGAUCUCAUAAAGCGUAUCGUAGUCCGGAUUGCAGUCUGCAACUCGACUCCAUGAAGUCGGAAUCGCUAGUAUCGUAUUAGUUG
This 432-nucleotide ribosomal RNA is filed under the name uncultured marine bacterium. RNAcentral describes it as "bacterial SSU rRNA". It matches the Rfam family "Bacterial small subunit ribosomal RNA", at positions 924 to 1355 of the family's 1533-position model. The record is from RNAcentral.